RNAcentral lists this ribosomal RNA (158 nucleotides) under Lecidella asema var. elaeochromoides. RNAcentral's name for it is "Lecidella elaeochromoides 5.8S ribosomal RNA". It matches the Rfam family "5.8S ribosomal RNA". Rfam says of the family: 5.8S ribosomal RNA (5.8S rRNA) is a component of the large subunit of the eukaryotic ribosome. The record is from RNAcentral. Lineage: Eukaryota; Fungi; Ascomycota; Lecanoromycetes; Lecanorales; Lecanoraceae.
AAAACUUUCAACAACGGAUCUCUUGGUUCUGGCAUCGAUGAAGAACGCAGCGAAAUGCGAUAAGUAAUGUGAAUUGCAGAAUUCAGUGAAUCAUCGAAUUUUUGAACGCACAUUGCGCCCCUUGGUAUUCCGGGGGGCAUGCCUGUUCGAGCGUCAUU